This 457-nucleotide ribosomal RNA is filed under the name uncultured bacterium. RNAcentral describes it as "partial 16S ribosomal RNA". It matches the Rfam family "Bacterial small subunit ribosomal RNA", at positions 338 to 795 of the family's 1533-position model. The record is from RNAcentral.
CCUACGGGUGGCAGCAGUGGGGAAUAUUGCACAAUGGGGGAAACCCUGAUGCAGCGACGCCGCGUGAGUGAAGAAGUAUUUCGGUACGUAAAGCUCUAUCAGCAGGGAAGAAAAAAAGUCCUUUGGACUUUGGACGGUACCUGACCAAGAAGCCCCGGCUAACUACGUGACAGCAGCCGCGGUAAUACGUAGGUGGCAAGCGUUAUCCGGAUUUACUGGGUGUAAAGGGAGCGUAGGAGGCAGCGCAAGUCUGGAGUGAAAUGCCGGGGCCCAACCCCGGAACUGCUUUGGAAACUGGGCAGCUGGAGUGCGUGAGAGGUAAGCGGAAUGCGUAGUGUAGCGGUGAAAUGCGUAGAUAUUAGGAGGAACACCAGUGGCGAAGGCGGCUUACUGGACUGUAACUGACGUUGAGGCUCGAAAGCGUGGGGAGCAAACAGGAUUAGAUACCCCUGUAGUC